This 3031-nucleotide long non-coding RNA is filed under the name Canis lupus familiaris (dog). Its description in RNAcentral is "lncRNA (ENSCAFG00040000829.1)". The record is from RNAcentral. Lineage: Eukaryota; Metazoa; Chordata; Mammalia; Carnivora; Canidae.
AGUACCCACUCCCUUUGUUUCUUUUCUUUCUCCCUUUUUUUUUUUUGGUUUCAAAUUUUUAUUAAAAUUCUAGUUAAUUAACAUAUAGUGUAAUAUUGGUUUCCAGAGUCGAAUUUAGUGACUCCUCGCUUACAUAUAACACCCAGUCUCCACUUUCUAUUUCAUAAAAUACAUACUUCUUUUCCACGUGGUUUCUAAAAGUUCAUGCUCUUGUUUUUCUCUUACUUCAUGAGCUACUGCUCUCAAUCUUCUUCAUUUUAUGAUUUUCUUCUGUUUUGCCCCUACAAGUCAGAAAGCUUGAAGGAUUGAGACAAGACCCUUUAUCACCAUACAUCAAUCCAUGAAUCAACUCAGAAAGAGAUCUCUGGAAACGGGAAGCUUCAACUUACCUGACCACAAAAUUCACUCUUGCCUAGAGGCUUGUGCCUCCAUGUACCUGAUGUGGCCAUGCUAAUUCGGGGUCACACAAUAUAUUGUACCUUAUGUUAGGGACUAUUUAUUGAUCAUUCUUUUCAAAAAGGUAGACCUGGGGCAGCCUGGGUGGCUCAGGGGUUUAGCGCCACCUUCGGCCCAGGGCAUGAUCCUGGGGACCCAGGAUCGAGUCCCAUGUCAGGCUCCCUGCAUGGAGCCUGCUUCUCCCUCUGCCUGUGUCUCUGCCUCUCUCUCUCUCUCUCUCUCUCUCUCUCUCUGUGUCUCUCAUUAAUAAAUAAAUACAUGAAUAAAUAAGUAACAUCUUUUAAAAAAAUAAAUAAAAGAUCUUAAGCCUAACCGUAGUUACUCACUGCACACUCCCCCACCCCUCAUGAUGGCCUUUAGGUGUCAACUUGACUGACCCACAGAUUGUCCAGAUAUUUGGCUAAACAUCAUACUGGGUAUGUCUGUGAGUGUGCUUAUGAAUGAAAUUAUUAUUUGAAGCCAAAAACUGAGCAAAGCAGAAUGCCCUCCCCAGUGUGGGCAGGCACCAUCUAUCCAUUUGCUAUAGACUGAAUGUUUGUGCUCCCUUAGUCCAAUUAUUAUGCUGAAACCUAUUUGAUAUCUUCAGAUGGGCCCUUGGGAUGAGUACCUUUAUACAGAUCUCUGAGAGCUCCCUUGCCCUGCUGCCAUUUAAGGACACAAUUAAAAGCAGCCAAUUAUGAACCAACCAUGAAUAAGGCUGUCAUCAAACAUCAAGUCUACAGAAGCUUUGAUCUUGUACUUCAAAAUGUCCAGAACUCUGAGAAAUAAAUUUCUGUUGCUUAUAGGCUACCCCAUCUACAGUAGUUUAUUAUAGCAACCCAAAUAAACUGAGGCAUUGUUGAAAACCUGUAUAGAACAAAAGGCAGAGUAGGGGAGAACCCGCUCUCCAGUUGACUGUCUUCCAGCUGGGACAUUGAUCUGCCCACAGGCACAGACGGGAACUAUAACAUCACCUCUCCUGGGUCUCCAGCUUUCCUAACUCUGCACAUCUUGAGACUUCUCAGCUUGUAUAACCACAUGGAACCAAUUGAAUUGUCCAAUUGAUUCUAUUUCUUUGGAGAACCCAGACUAAUACAUCCCUAUAACCGUUUGUCAAUCCAAGAAUGAGAGAAAAUUGUACAUGAAGUUCACAGGCCACAUAGUUCCACAUUCUCUUGUCUCUCUUAUUAUGCCAAAGUGUCUAACAUGGAAAUAAAGGACUGUUAUGAUGAUCAGCUCAUAGAUUGACCCUAGAUAGGGCUGUUCAAUUGAUACAAGUAACAUAAUUUCCUCUACUUGGCUCUUGAUGACUCUCUUUCCUUCCUGUCAUAUUCAAAGCAAAUAAAGACCUACCACUCUGUGGGUGCCCUGCCCAUCACCGUCUCCAAUGUCCAGCUCUAGCUAACAUCUUUCCUGAGGUUACCCUAAACAGAAAUUCAAUUCAACUGAAAAACUGACAAUCUGAAAUAUUUUACCCGGAUAAAUCUAUGAUGUAACACCUUCAGAAUAUGCGUCCCUUCUUCUUGAAAGAGUAUAAAUAAUCAUACAUACCAUGGAUGAACAAGAAAAUAUAUAUACAAUUAUACUGAAAAUCACUUGAUAAAAGAGUUUUAAUGAUCAGGACUAGUUAUCCCAAAUGUAUCUUGUGUUUUACUUAACUUCAUUAUUUUCUGAAAAAAAAAAGUCGCACAUUUCAUGAGAAACUAAGCUACAGAAAUACAAUUAGACUUCCCACAUGCCUCAGGGAAUAUGUUCUUUAUCUAUCCUCCCACAAUUAAAUUAGAAAAGGAAGUGACCUUGAGUUGAAAGAAGCCUCAUGAGUGACUAAAACCCCAGCAAGGAGAAGACAUUAGUUUUAUUUGAAAGGUGACUAGGAUUUUGAAGGUCACCUUGGGGCCCAUCAUACUAAUAUGUAAACCCAGACUACACAUUGACAAAGCAUUUCAGGAUGUACAAGCCAUACCAGUAUGAUAUGGUGAAAUAGAAUCCAAGUGGACACAGAUUCAGAUUUACCAGUAUUUGCUGCAUAUGAUUCCGAUACGUUCUGGAGAGACACUAGUUCAAUGCAAACAUCACAUAUAUCCACGUAACUAAGGAAAAACAGACUUUUUAUGAAGCACUAAAAGACCAUUGCUACGUCUUUAUUUUCUCUUGCCAAACCACACAGUUUGUAUAAGUAUCAAUUCAAAGAAUAGAGGGCAACGUGUCAUGAAAAGAUUGGAAUUAUUAUAAUCAUGAAUUAUUCCUCUGAUUGUUGUUGCUCUGGCUGUGGUUUUCUCUACACAGUACCAUGAUGAAGCAGAAUGCCAUUACUGCCAAGUUUCUUGAUCAAUAAAGAAUAACAAACUAAGGUAAUUCACGUUUUGUCAAAAAAUGGAGCUCUUCCAGGCCCCCAACAUUGUUUAUUUCACUGUGAAAUCAGACUUGUUGGUUUUCUUUCAAUGUCAGGAUAACUAGUUCACUUCCCAAAUUCUUUUUCAUCUUAAACUUUCUAACACCAUGAGUCAAUUUUCACUCUUUGACCUGUGUCCAACAAUGAGAACACACUCAAAACUCUUCUUUCAAUGCAAAAUUGACUUGAUUAAUAAAAUAAUCA